GAUGAACGCUAGCGGCAGGCCUAAUACAUGCAAGUCGAACGGGAUUGCGGUAGUAGCUUGCUACUACUGCAUGAGAGUGGCGCACGGGUGCGUAACGCGUGAGCAACCUACCCAUAUCAGGGGGAUAGCCCGGCGAAAGUCGGAUUAACACCGCAUAACAUCAACAGUUCGCAUGUUCAGUUGAUUAAAUAUUUAUAGGAUAUGGAUGGGCUCGCGUGACAUUAGCUAGUUGGUAGGGUAACGGCUUACCAAGGCAACGAUGUCUAGGGGCUCUGAGAGGAGAAUCCCCCACACUGGUACUGGGACACGGACCAGACUCCUACGGGAGGCAGCAGUAAGGAAUAUUGGUCAAUGGGCGCAAGCCUGAACCAGCCAUGCCGCGUGCAGGAGGACUGCCCUAUGGGUUGUAAACUGCUUUUAUCAGGGAAUAAACCCCUUUACGAGUAGAGGGUUGAAUGUACCUGAAGAAUAAGGAUCGGCUAACUCCGUG
This 490-nucleotide ribosomal RNA is filed under the name uncultured bacterium. Its description in RNAcentral is "partial 16S ribosomal RNA". It matches the Rfam family "Bacterial small subunit ribosomal RNA", at positions 28 to 507 of the family's 1533-position model. The record is from RNAcentral.